AACAUCGCCUCUUGUAAAAUAAGAGGUCCUGCCUGCCCAAUGACACACUGUUCAACGGCCGCGGUAUUUUGACCGUGCGAAGGUAGCGUAAUCACUUGUCUUUUAAAUGAAGACCUGUAUGAAUGGCAAGACGAGGGCUUAACUGUCUCCUUUUUCAAGUCAAUGAAAUUGAUCUCCCCGUGCAGAAGCGGGGAUAACUACAUAAGACGAGAAGACCCUAUGGAGCUUUAGAUGAUGAAACAGACCACGUCAAAGCAACCCUAAAUAAGGGACUGAACUAACUGGCCACUGUUUUUAUGUCUUCGGUUGGGGCGACCAUGGGGAAAUAAAAAACCUCCACGUGGAAUAGGAGCACUCCCAGAAUUAAGAGCUACAGCUCUAACUAACAGAAUUUCUGACCAAAAAUGAUCCGGCAGUGCCGAUCAACGAAUCAAGUUACCCUAGGGAUAACAGCGCAAUCCCCUUUUAGAGCCCAUAUCGACAAGGGGGUUUACGACCUCGAUGUUGGAUCAGGACAUCCUAAUGGUGCAG
This 531-nucleotide ribosomal RNA is filed under the name Toxotes jaculatrix (banded archerfish). Its description in RNAcentral is "partial 16S ribosomal RNA". It matches the Rfam family "Bacterial large subunit ribosomal RNA", at positions 1812 to 2558 of the family's 2925-position model. The record is from RNAcentral. Lineage: Eukaryota; Metazoa; Chordata; Actinopteri; Toxotidae.